CUGUCCUCGUACUUCCCGUGAGCUGCCUUGUUUGCUUGUGGAGCCUCGGUUGAAUCCUCAUGAGCUGCUUGAUUGGCAAGAGAGAGCUCCCCCUUUCCUCCAAACAAACCCAUAGAUCCCUGCUCCCUUUGGAUUUGUGCACACACCUCCUCAAGGUCCGGAAGCUUGUCUGACCUUAACAUGUGCUGGAUGAGCUGGGUGUAGGCCGGGUUCAGUGUGAGAAGCAGACCAAAGACCUUGUCUUGCUCGCGCCUCUCAUUCAACUGAUCUGGAUCA
RNAcentral lists this long non-coding RNA (276 nucleotides) under Brassica napus (rape). RNAcentral's name for it is "long non-coding RNA (BNAP_LNC023950)". Lineage: Eukaryota; Viridiplantae; Streptophyta; Magnoliopsida; Brassicales; Brassicaceae. The record is from RNAcentral.